Molecule: long non-coding RNA, 573 nt
Organism: Trifolium pratense (red clover)
Lineage: Eukaryota; Viridiplantae; Streptophyta; Magnoliopsida; Fabales; Fabaceae
Exons: 6
Source: RefSeq, a predicted model, not a curated record
GACAGGCUUGAGUUGAAAUGAGACUUUGCUAUUUUUCAAUUUGGAUCUUCUUUUCUGCUAGACAGGGGUUUUUAUGUUGUUAUUCUUCUCUACAUACAUGUUUAGGGCUGAAAAUAUGCUUUUGAGUGUUCAUUUGAUUUACAAAUCCAGCAACGACAAAGAUCGAUGAAGAUUUGGAAUUAAGGUAUCCUCAUAAAGGAAUGUUCAAAGAGCUUCUCAAAAAGCAAGGUUCACAAAAUUACGGUUUGAUUGUAAUUCAAUUUUAUCGGAAAACUUGGGUUUGUUUUGAUUAUCAAAAAAUGGAAUAUAGUGUUUCAGAAAUCAAUUAUCAGAGAUUGUUGUUCAUGAAUUUGAAGAAAAAGGGUUUGCUUCAAUAGGAAUAGAAGGUGAGACAGAAGGAGUGGUUUAUUACAUUUACAUUCAUGCUUUCGUAGCCUUUUUGUAUAAAUUAAUUCUUUAAACAUUUUCUAAUAUGAUGAUGAUUAGAGUGAUAUAAACAAAUAUGUUAGUUUUGCAUCACUAUACCAAACAACUUUAUUUAUACUUCUUCCAAAACAUGUCUUAUUAGUUUAU